This is a non-coding RNA of Oryctolagus cuniculus (rabbit), 46 nucleotides long. Lineage: Eukaryota; Metazoa; Chordata; Mammalia; Lagomorpha; Leporidae. The record is from Rfam.
CCAAAGGCUCUUUUCAGAGCCACCUCCGAGCUCGAUAAAGGAGCGU